This 3060-nucleotide small RNA is filed under the name Pongo abelii (Sumatran orangutan). RNAcentral describes it as "retained intron". Lineage: Eukaryota; Metazoa; Chordata; Mammalia; Primates; Hominidae. The record is from RNAcentral.
AGUGUCAGCCUCUCGGCGGGAGGAGGCGGCGGCGGAGGAGGAGCAGGGGGAGGGCUGUCAAAUUCGGGAGCCAGAUUUUUUUCCCUUCCCCUGGCAAUCCCUUCCGCUUCCCCGGCUCCCGGCGUGACAUCUGCGGGCCGGGAACCUGCAUGUGUGUGCGCGCGAAGGAGCGGAAGAAUGGCAGUGCUCAAACUCACCGACCAGCCACCAUUGGUUCAGGCAAUCUUCAAUGGUGAUCCAGAGGAGAUCCGGAUGCUCAUCCAUAAAACUGAAGAUGUGAAUACUCUGGAUUCUGAGAAACGAACCCCUCUUCACGUGGCCGCAUUUCUGGGAGAUGCAGAGAUCAUUGAACUCCUGAUUUUGUCAGGAGCUCGUGUAAAUGCCAAGGACAACAUGUGGCUGACUCCACUGCACCGGGCUGUUGCUUCCAGAAGCGAAGUGAGUGAUUACCAUAUUUAAUCUAUUACCUAUUGUGCCUAGAAAAAGAAAAAUUCUUGCUAGUGAAUUAAGAAUCCUUACUGGUAAGCAAAAGGCUUUUACCCCUAAUGUAAGAGGGUUACCCAAAAUGAACAGCUGUUUAUUUGAGUAUCUCCUGCAUGCCAGACAUAGUGCUGAGUGGGGCUGGGGAGUGUCUGGAGUAGUUCAACAUGGACAGCAUGAUCCUGAAUUUCAGUGAGUUCUCAGCCUGGGGAGGAGGCAAAGCAGAAAGCAGAUCAGUACAAUAUCAUCAUUGACUUGCAGGAGAAAGCAACUAACUGCCUGCUUGAAUAGAGGAAAUCUUCCAAGAAGAGAUGUCAGUUGAGCUGGUCCUUAAAGGAUGAGUAAGGACUUAGCAGGCCAGGACAAGGAGGGUGGGCUGAGGCAAGGAAGUGAGUGAAUGGGGGCCUCAGUGAGGUAUAACUGGAACUCAGGCUAUAGUAGAAGGUAAAUCUGAUAGUGGAGGUUGGGCCAGAUGGCAGAGGGCUUGGAAUCCUCUGAGCAAUGGAGAAUGGUCACAGCAGGGGAGUGAUAUGCUCAGAUCUGUGUUUCAGAGAACCUUUGUGGUGGCAGCAUGUGAAUGGGCUGAGGGGGAGGGGUCUAAGGGAGGCAGGCCAAUAAGAGACCAAAAGAGGCUUGAAGCAGCUGGGAUGAGGGCAUAAAGCUGAGUCCAUGAUUUGGGAGCUCAUUAGAGGUAAACCUGGCAGGAUUUAGUACCUAGUAGGAGCGAGGUGGGAAAGAAGCUGGUAGGUAAAUGGUGAUGCUGUUAACAGAAGAGGCACAGAGCAGGGGAGCAGGGGCCGGGAGGCUGGUGGGUCCUGUUUGCUAACGCUGAGUUCAGCAAACAUGUCGUUGGAGUGGGAGCUCCAUGAGGGCAGGGAUAUGUACUUUGUUCCUGGAUGUAUCGCAAGCCUGGUACAUUCUAGGCAUCCAAGAAAUAAUUUGUUGUUGAAUGCUGGAAAUUCAGGUGAAGAUGACUGAUAGAUUAUCUAUAAUUAUUUAUACAAGUCUAGCACUCAGGGACAGGGAGGAUGAUCAUCAAACCGUGGUAAAUGCGUCAGGUAGCUCAGGGGAAGUAUAAAGGAUGAGAAGAUCAAUGUGAAGGCAGGGGUGGCAGGGAACGCUGGUGAAUGUCAGCCUUGAAGCCUGGUCAGAGGAGUUGCCCAUUAUCCAGGGAUACAAGAGGUUCAAACCUUGUAUGCACUUGGUGCUGGAUGACUGACCUCCAUAGCUGAGUUUACCAAAUGCAGCUUCUCCUCUGCUACUGGAGAAGGUGAUGUUCUCCAGGUACACCUAGGAGCAAAAGGUCUUACUGAGAAUGAAUCUACAGAAGUUGCAAGUGUCUUUGGUCGUUAUUGGUGUCAGCUUUUCCUCUUUGGCAACUAUCUGGAAAUUUCAAAAUAUACUUGGUAGGUGACAGCUUAGUAGUCAUAGUUUUUCUUGCUGCACUUUGUGAUUUUAGUAGUUUUUAAAAGGGGUUGGUUGUGUUCUCCUUCCAAAUAUCCCUCAUGGAAUGAGAGAGGUCAAUAAUCCUAAAUUGUCUGGCUCAGACCCUGGAGAAUUCAGAAUCUUCUCAUGGUCCCACAUUUUAUUUCCGUUUUGUCUGGGAAAACGAGGGCAGUGAGCUGACUGAGUAGGUAUUACCAGCUUUAUGAGACCAACCCCUUCAUAGAGGAGUAUUUCCUGGCCUUUUAAGACCACUUGGUCUUUAGUAAAUUUAAGUGUCUCUUUAAAAAUAUAUAUGGAUUUGUUUCCUCUUUAACAAGAACCAGAUCUUUUUAGUUGGGAAAAUAAUUCAAUAUGCACCUCCUAUAUGCCAGGCACCUUUUCUUUGUAGCUGAUGGAGCUACAAAAAACACUAAGACCCAUGGUCUCUGCCCUUAGGAAGUGUGUAGUCUAGUGGAAAAGAAAGACACAAAAAAAGGUGAUUUCAUUACUCUGUGACUUUUCCCAAGUGAUCUCUACCUUUGUUAGCUCAACUAGCUUCAAAGACUUCAAUCCUCAAAACAUCCGUUUUCCAUCAACAACCAGUCUGCAUUCUGUAAGUAUCUUUAGUGUGUUUGAAUCUAGUCAGCCUAAUGAUGGACUGACCUUUCUAUCUGAGAAAGGCUUUUGUUGCUUCUCCAAGUAACUAGCUCCCUCUGUAGGUUUGCAGGGAGGAAAAAAAAAUCCCUUGCCAGGUAGGAAUUAAAUGCAAACAAACCCUGAAUUGUAAAUAAUUGGGUCACAUAUGAGUUUAUGAUGUCUUUAUAUUAGUAUCUGUCACAGCAAGUUGGAUAGUUUCUUAUGAAAAUUGGAGUCUCGGCUGGGCACAGUGGCUCAUGCCUGUAAUCCCAGCACUUUGGGAGGACCAGGUGGGUGGAUCAUGAGGUCAGGAGUUCAAGACCAGCCUGACCAACAUGGAGAAACCCCGUCUCUGCUAAAAAUACAAAAUUAGCUGGGCGUGGUAGUGCAUGCCUGUAACCCCAGCUACUCGGGAGGCUGAGGCAGGAGAAUCACUUGAACCUAGGAGGCAGAGGUUGCAGUGAGCCGAGAUCACGCCAUUGCACUCCAGCCUGGGCAAAAAGAGUGAAACUCCAUCUC